AUUGAACGCUGGCGGCAUGCCUUACACAUGCGAGUCGAACGGUCACAGGUUAAGCUUACGAGUCGCGCACGGGUGAGUAAUGUAUCGGAACGUGCCCAGUCGCGUGCCUUAACUGCUCGAAAGAGCAGCUAAUACCGCAUCCGACCUGAGAGUGUAUGCGGAGGAUCGCAAUUCCUCGCGCGAUUGGAGCUGUCGUUAUCCGAUUAGUUAGUUGGUGAGGUAAUGGCUCACCAAGGCGACGAUCUGUAGCCGGACUGAGAGGACGAUCGGCCACACUGGAACUGAGACACGGUCCAGACUCCUACGGGAGGCAGCAGUAGGGAAUCUUGGACAAUGGGCGAAAGCCUGACCCAGCCAUGCCGCGUGAGGGAAGAAGGCCUUCGGGUUGUAAAACGCUUUUGUCAGGGAAGAAAAGGUGCUGGCGAAUACAUGGGAGUCUUGACGGUACCUGAAGAAUAAGCAACGGCUAACUACGUG
This 477-nucleotide ribosomal RNA is filed under the name uncultured bacterium. RNAcentral's name for it is "partial 16S ribosomal RNA". It matches the Rfam family "Bacterial small subunit ribosomal RNA", at positions 30 to 507 of the family's 1533-position model. The record is from RNAcentral.